Molecule: ribosomal RNA, 468 nt
Filed under: uncultured bacterium
Lineage: Bacteria
Description: partial 16S ribosomal RNA
Rfam family: Bacterial small subunit ribosomal RNA
Source: RNAcentral
GACGAACGCUGGCGGCGUGCUUAACACAUGCAAGUCGAACGGAAAGGCCCUGCUUUUGUGGGCUGCUCGAGUGGCGAACGGGUGAGUAACACGUGAGUAACCUGCCCUUCACUUUGGGAUAACUUCAGGAAACUGGGGCUAAUACCGGAUAGGAGCUCCCGCUGCAUGGUGGGGGUUGGAAAGUUUCGGCGGUUGGGGAUGGACUCGCGGCUUAUCAGCUUGUUGGUGGGGUAGUGGCUUACCAAGGCUUUGACGGGUAGCCGGCCUGAGAGGGUGACCGGCCACAUUGGGACUGAGAUACGGCCCAGACUCCUACAGGAGGCAGCAGUGGGGAAUAUUGCACAAUGGGCGGAAGCCUGAUGCAGCAACGCCGCGUGCGGGAUGACGGCCUUCGGGUUGUAAACCGCUUUCGCCUGUGACGAAGCGUGAGUGACGGUAAUGGGUAAAGAAGCACCGGCUAACUACGUG